UAGAAAGAGAUGGCAUGAGUUUGUGUUCAUUAUCCCCGAAAAAUUUCGCUUGGGAAGAACAAGGUUAUUAGACUCUAUACAGGUUACGACAGAGCGUUUGAGAGGGUCACCAUUAUGGAUACCUUGUUUACAACUUUUCUGUCAAAAUAGAUGCCGACCAGCUGUUGCUUGGCACGAGCAACAUAAAUAAGUUUACAGAAGACGAAAUUACUGCUACAAUUAUUCUUCAUGCUAACUAGUUAUAUCAUUUAUAGAAUAUGACUUCUAUGUUGGAUUGGUUAAUGCUAAGUCAAUUUUGCUUACAUGCCCUGAAUAUCGUCGGAUUGUUUCAUCAGUUUCAAUUGUUCUACAGGUUUGGUAUUGCUGUCCUAGCUUCAGUGGACGAGAGUUCAUGCCGUCCAGCAGCAACAGUGUCCAAACUGGGUUAUUGUGCUGUCCCAGAUGCUGCCCCUCGUAUGAGAAGUGGCCAGAUCCCAUGUCGCUUCGCGCAUAACAGCUCGUCCUUUAUUCGGAUUGGAACGGACACGGAACAAUUCAGUGAAAGAGUAUCGAUGUGAUGACACCCUUUUGACGAUGUUGGUCAGGGAACCAGUGAUGAUGUGGUGCAAAAAAUGCUACCGGCAUCACUUUCGUUCCGCUAUUGCACUUGACCCGAACUAGGACCGCGACGGCGCAGACGAACUUGCGGCAGCGGUGAUGAUGCGUAUCCCUCCUUCGAAAUUGCGGUGCUGAGAUGAUGAUAAGGUAGAAGCUUGUGUGGAAUAAGGCUGCAGCCAAAACGGAAUGAAUAUUUGUUUUCUUUGAACUGGAACGGCAACAGUGGCAGCAUAGACGAUCGUCUCGAACAUGACGACUGCAACGAACCGACAUGGAACCGCGGACAAUAACUUAAAUAACAACUAUGCAUAAGCACAAAUAUACUUAUAGUUUAUUUCCUAA
Anopheles merus is the source of this 939-nucleotide long non-coding RNA. RefSeq lists it as uncharacterized. The record is from RefSeq and is a predicted model, not a curated record. The transcript is spliced from 2 exons. Lineage: Eukaryota; Metazoa; Arthropoda; Insecta; Diptera; Culicidae.